GACGAACGCUGGCGGCGUGCUUAACACAUGCAAGUCGAACGGAAAGGCUCCAGCUUGCUGGAGUACUCGAGUGGCGAACGGGUGAGUAACACGUGGGUAAUCUGCCCUGCACUCUGGGAUAAGCCUGGGAAACUGGGUCUAAUCUUGGAUAUGACCUUUCCCCUUAGGGGGUUCGGUGGAAAGUUUUGCGGUGUGGGAUGGGCCCGGGGCCUAUCAGCUUGUUGGGGGGGUGAUGGCCAACCAAGGCGACGCCGGGUAGCCGGCCUGGGAGGGUGAUCGGCCACAAUGGGACUGAGAUACGGCCCAGACUCCUACGGGAGGCAGCAGUGGGGAGUAUUGCACAAUGGGCGGAAGCCUGAUGCAGCGACGCCGCGUGAGGGGUGACGGCCUUCGGGUUGUAAACCUCUUUCAGCAGGGACGAAGCGUAAGUGACGGUACCUGCAGAAGAAGCACCGGCUAACUAUGUG
This 467-nucleotide ribosomal RNA is filed under the name uncultured bacterium. Its description in RNAcentral is "partial 16S ribosomal RNA". It matches the Rfam family "Bacterial small subunit ribosomal RNA", at positions 28 to 507 of the family's 1533-position model. The record is from RNAcentral.